Molecule: ribosomal RNA, 492 nt
Filed under: Treponema sp. oral taxon G86
Lineage: Bacteria; Pseudomonadati; Spirochaetota; Spirochaetia; Treponematales; Treponemataceae
Description: bacterial SSU rRNA
Rfam family: Bacterial small subunit ribosomal RNA
Source: RNAcentral
AACGAACGCUGGCGGUGCGUCUUAAGCAUGCAAGUCGAACGGCAAGAAAGUGCUUGCACUUUCCUAGAGUGGCGGACUGGUGAGUAACGCGUAGGUGAUCUACCUUUAAGAUGGGGAUAGCUUUUAGAAAUAAGAGAUAAUACCGAAUGUGCUUACGAUGUUUGACAUUGUAAGGAAAGGAGCGUUUGCUCCGCUUAAAGAUGAGCCUGCGUCCCAUUAGCUAGUUGGUGAGGUAAAGGCCCACCAAGGCUGUGAUGGGUAUCCGACCUGAGAGGGUGAUCGGACACAUUGGGACUGAGAUACGGCCCAAACUCCUACGGGAGGCAGCAGCUGAGAAUCUUCCGCAAUGGACGAAAGUCUGACGGAGCGACACCGCGUGAAUGAUGAAGGCCGAAAGGUUGUAAAAUUCUUUUGCAGACAAAGAAUAAGUGCAGGAGGAAAUGCCUGCAUGAUGACGGUAGUUAUGCGAAUGAGCCCCGGCUAAUUACGUGC